UGGUAGUCCACGCCGUAAACGAUGAGUGCUAGGUGUUGGGGGGUUCCACCCUCAGUGCUGAAGUUAACACAUUAAGCACUCCGCCUGGGGAGUACGACCGCAAGGUUGAAACUCAAAGGAAUUGACGGGGGCCCGCACAAGCAGUGGAGCAUGUGGUUUAAUUCGAAGCAACGCGAAGAACCUUACCAGGUCUUGACAUCCUCUGACAAUCCUGGAGACAGGACGUUCCCCUUCGGGGGACAGAGUGACAGGUGGUGCAUGGUUGUCGUCAGCUCGUGUCGUGAGAUGUUGGGUUAAGUCCCGCAACGAGCGCAACCCUUGAUCUUAGUUGCCAGCAUUCAGUUGGGCACUCUAAGGUGACUGCCGGUGACAAACCGGAGGAAGGUGGGGAUGACGUCAAAUCAUCAUGCCCCUUAUGACCUGGGCUACACACGUGCUACAAUGGACGGUACAAAGGGCAGCGACACCGCGAGGUGAAGCAAAUCCCAUAAAGCCGUUCUCAGUUCGGAUUGCAGGCUGCAACUCGCCUGCAUGAAGCCGGAAUUGCUAGUAAUCGCGGAUCAGCAUGCCGCGGUGAAUACGUUCCCGGGCCUUGUACACACCGCCCGUCACACCACGAGAGUUUGUAACACCCGAAGUCGGUGGGGUAACCU
RNAcentral lists this ribosomal RNA (653 nucleotides) under Guptibacillus hwajinpoensis. Its description in RNAcentral is "bacterial SSU rRNA". It matches the Rfam family "Bacterial small subunit ribosomal RNA", at positions 788 to 1441 of the family's 1533-position model. Lineage: Bacteria; Bacillati; Bacillota; Bacilli; Caryophanales; Guptibacillaceae. The record is from RNAcentral.